RNAcentral lists this antisense RNA (75 nucleotides) under Streptomyces sp. TLI_053. RNAcentral describes it as "ASpks TB sRNA". It matches the Rfam family "ASpks TB sRNA". The record is from RNAcentral. Lineage: Bacteria; Bacillati; Actinomycetota; Actinomycetes; Kitasatosporales; Streptomycetaceae.
CUUCAGCGACCCCAGCCACAGCGGCUCCCGCUCGCCGCGCUCCCGGCCGUAGGUGGCCAGCAGCGCCUGGGCCUC